This is a long non-coding RNA of Papaver somniferum (opium poppy), 276 nucleotides long. RefSeq lists it as uncharacterized. The transcript is spliced from 2 exons. The record is from RefSeq and is a predicted model, not a curated record. Lineage: Eukaryota; Viridiplantae; Streptophyta; Magnoliopsida; Ranunculales; Papaveraceae.
ACCUAUCUCUCUUGAUUUCCUAUGUGACUACGUACCUGAUGACAAUUCCAACAUUGAAGAUGAAAUUUUGGGGAAGGAUGAAGAUUAAGGAGAUUGGCUUGAGAGAUGGAUGGACUGCAGUCUUUUAGCUUUGGUUAACUUGAGAAAUGAAGAUCAAAUGGAUGACUGCAGUCUUUUUAUGUUAUUGGCAACAUCGUUUUCUUUUAACUUUCGUUUCAUCAGACUUUGGUUAUCUUUUAGAAUUAAGACUUUGGCUAACUUGUUUGUGAACUUCAA